RNAcentral lists this ribosomal RNA (429 nucleotides) under Fusobacteriota bacterium. RNAcentral describes it as "Fusobacteria bacterium partial 16S ribosomal RNA". It matches the Rfam family "Bacterial small subunit ribosomal RNA", at positions 355 to 776 of the family's 1533-position model. Lineage: Bacteria; Fusobacteriati; Fusobacteriota. The record is from RNAcentral.
UGGGGAAUCUUCCGCAAUGGACGAAAGUCUGACGGAGCAACGCCGCGUGAGUGAAGACGGCCUUCGGGUUGUAAAGCUCUGUGAUCCGGGACGAAAGAGCCUGAGGUGAAUAGCCUAAGGAAGUGACGGUACCGGAAAAGCAAGCCACGGCUAACUACGUGCCAGCAGCCGCGGUAAUACGUAGGUGGCAAGCGUUGUCCGGAAUUAUUGGGCGUAAAGCGCGCGCAGGCGGCUUCCUAAGUCCAUCUUAAAAGUGCGGGGCUUAACCCCGUGAUGGGAUGGAAACUGGGAAGCUGGAGUAUCGGAGAGGAAAGUGGAAUUCCUAGUGUAGCGGUGAAAUGCGUAGAGAUUAGGAGGAACACCGGUGGCGAAGGCGACUUUCUAGACGAAAACUGACGCUGAGGCGCGAAAGCGUGGGGAGCAAACAGG